Loxodonta africana (African savanna elephant) is the source of this 672-nucleotide long non-coding RNA. RefSeq lists it as uncharacterized. The transcript has 5 exons. Lineage: Eukaryota; Metazoa; Chordata; Mammalia; Proboscidea; Elephantidae. The record is from RefSeq and is a predicted model, not a curated record.
UGCUCCGGGUGCCAGUGCGUGCCCAAGGCGGUAACCAUUUUCUGCAGAGAAUGAAAGAGGACACGCGGUGUGGUCCUCCUUCCCUUCUUCCCUCCCUCUCCAACUGGGACUAGGUCAGGAUGAAGAAUCUUAUGCCCAUGGUGGGAAAAGACUGAAGCUUAUGCAAAUUAUAAGUGAUGGAGAUUCAGCCAGGUCUUCAAGCUUUGCUACAGAGCUGACUCAUCCCUUAGGCACAGCAGGCGGUGUUACGGCACGCAAUAGUUUUAGGGGCCUAGGUUUGGAAAGCUAGACUGAGAGACAGUGAAACAGAGUGAGCCCUGCAAUCUGACUGAGCAGUUUCUGCUCUCAGGUCAUAUGCUUUCUCCUCCUCUAUGUUCCUUGCUACCCAGAUUGGUCCUCCUUCUGCUCCCCUGUGGCCGCCUUGCUAGAUGGGAACUGAGACAUUAUUUCAUCUGGAGAGAGGAGAGAAAGGGCACCUGGACAUGGGGCCAUGCUCAACCACCCUCCCAGAUGCUCCUGAAGACUCCCCAGACCCUGUCUACAGAGAGAAGAGGUGCACCUGUGGAAUGCCAGGCCUAUAAUUUGCCUCACUCAGGCCCAGAUUUCCUUAGCCUUGGCCAGUGGCUGGCCCAGCCCCCAGCAUUUGAUCUCACCUGUGUCUGGUGGUCAUAG